GGGGUCAGAGUGCCAUAUGGAUGAAGGGCAAAAAAGACAGAAUGUCUGAGCAAGCCGUGCGCUCUGCUCGCCCCGAGAUCACUCAGAAGCAGCACGAACUCUUGAGCAGGUUUUCUCAUGUUCUCACCCAGGCUGCUUUGGUGACAUCAGGGCCAGGGUAAGGCUGGGAUAGCUGAGAUCACACAGCCAAGAAGGAAGCAGCCGGUGAAAGAUCUGGAGCAGGAGUCUGAUGGGGAGCAGCUGAUGGAGCUGGGAUGGGUCAGUGUGGAAAAGAAGAGGCUCAGGAGAGACCUUAUUGCACUCCACAGCUCCUUGAAAGGAGGUUAUGGUGAGGUGGGGGUCGGCCUCUGAUCCCAGCAUAGCCUUAGGAUGGGGAAGUGCCAUGCUGAGGACCACACUGCGGAUUGCUCUGACUGGGUUUCUUCUUGUUGGCCCACACAUGAGCCGGAGCAUCUGCUGCAGCCCCUGCCCUGAGCCAGAGGAGGGGGCACAGCAGACGUAACUCCUGCUCAGAAGUUGAGCCCACGAUCCCACGUUGCUGCAGCUGAUCUCUAUUUUCCCUAAACUCUACAGACAGCGUCUUCAGAACUUAAUUUGAUUUUGAUUGAUUUUUUGAAACUUGAAACACUUCUAAACUAAUUUUCAGUAUAUUACUCUUGUCAACUCUUAAAGAUUUUGUCAGUAAGAAUUUGCUGAACAGACACAGUAAUUUUGUUUCUCAUUUUGGCAGAUCACCCCUAAAGAGGAAAGUGGGCAGGAGGGGGUGUUAUUAUAGCUGCAGUUAUUAGAAUAUACAUUGCAAUUACCUUGCUCCUAUUUGUGGGUCGUUUAAGAGCAAUUUCUGAGUGCAGCCACUAGGAGCUCAACCUGCACGGUUGUGUGAUGCCAUCUAAAAGGAGCCUCAUUCUUUGCUUGUUGCUCCUCUCUCAGAGUGAUUUUUAGCUUUGAGGGGUGUCCAUGUUGGAAGUUGGGUUCUGUGAUCCUUGAGGACCACCUUGAAGACACGGCCCGGCGUGGGCAUGGCCUAACCCUGUGUUCACACCUGAGAAGACAGAGA
RNAcentral lists this long non-coding RNA (1057 nucleotides) under Gallus gallus (chicken). RNAcentral describes it as "lncRNA (ENSGALG00010029094.1)". The record is from RNAcentral. Lineage: Eukaryota; Metazoa; Chordata; Aves; Galliformes; Phasianidae.